CCUACGAGAGGCAGCAGUAGGGAAUCUUCCACAAUGGACGAAAGUCUGAUGGAGCAACGCCGCGUGAGUGAAGAAGGGUUUCGGCUCGUAAAACUCUGUUGUUAAAGAAGAACAUAUCUGAGAGUAACUGUUCAGGUAUUGACGGUAUUUAACCAGAAAGCCACGGCUAACUACGUGCCAGCAGCCGCGGUAAUACGUAGGUGGCAAGCGUUGUCCGGAUUUAUUGGGCGUAAAGCGAGCGCAGGCGGUUUUUUAAGUCUGAUGUGAAAGCCUUCGGCUCAACCGAAGAAGUGCAUCGGAAACUGGGAAACUUGAGUGCAGAAGAGGACAGUGGAACUCCAUGUGUAGCGGUGAAAUGCGUAGAUAUAUGGAAGAACACCAGUGGCGAAGGCGGCUGUCUGGUCUGUAACUGACGCUGAGGCUCGAAAGUAUGGGUAGCAAACAGGAUUAGAUACCCCAGUAGUC
Molecule: ribosomal RNA, 465 nt
Filed under: uncultured Lactobacillaceae bacterium
Lineage: Bacteria; Bacillati; Bacillota; Bacilli; Lactobacillales; Lactobacillaceae
Description: bacterial SSU rRNA
Rfam family: Bacterial small subunit ribosomal RNA
Source: RNAcentral